RNAcentral lists this transfer RNA (72 nucleotides) under Fukomys damarensis (Damara mole-rat). It matches the Rfam family "tRNA". Rfam says of the family: Transfer RNA (tRNA) molecules are approximately 80 nucleotides in length. Their secondary structure includes four short double-helical elements and three loops (D, anti-codon, and T loops). The record is from Rfam by way of RNAcentral. Lineage: Eukaryota; Metazoa; Chordata; Mammalia; Rodentia; Bathyergidae.
GGGACUGUAGCUCAGUGGUACAGCCCUUGCCUAGCAAGCAUGAAGCCCUAGGUUCGAUUCCCUGUAAUGCAG